GACGAACGCUGGCGGCGUGCUUAACACAUGCAAGUCGAACGGAAAGGCCCUGCUUUUGUGGGGUGCUCGAGUGGCGAACGGGUGAGUAACACGUGAGUAACCUGCCCUUGACUUUGGGAUAACUUCAGGAAACUGGGGCUAAUACCGGAUAGGAGCUCCUGCUGCAUGGUGGGGGUUGGAAAGUUUCGGCGGUUGGGGAUGGACUCGCGGCUUAUCAGCUUGUUGGUGGGGUAGUGGCUUACCAAGGCUUUGACGGGUAGCCGGCCUGAGAGGGUGACCGGCCACAUUGGGACUGAGAUACGGCCCAGACUCCUACGGGAGGCAGCAGUGGGGAAUAUUGCACAAUGGACGGAAGCCUGAUGCAGCAACGCCGCGUGCGGGAUGACGGCCUUCGGGUUGUAAACCGCUUUCGCCUAUGACGAAGCGUGAGUGACGGUAAUGGGUAAAGAAGCACCGGCUAACUACGUG
RNAcentral lists this ribosomal RNA (468 nucleotides) under uncultured bacterium. RNAcentral's name for it is "partial 16S ribosomal RNA". It matches the Rfam family "Bacterial small subunit ribosomal RNA", at positions 28 to 507 of the family's 1533-position model. The record is from RNAcentral.